This 21-nucleotide non-coding RNA is filed under the name Caenorhabditis elegans. Lineage: Eukaryota; Metazoa; Nematoda; Chromadorea; Rhabditida; Rhabditidae. The record is from RNAcentral.
UUAAUUCAUCAUUCAUUUCAC